This 1522-nucleotide ribosomal RNA is filed under the name Shigella boydii. RNAcentral's name for it is "bacterial SSU rRNA". It matches the Rfam family "Bacterial small subunit ribosomal RNA". Lineage: Bacteria; Pseudomonadati; Pseudomonadota; Gammaproteobacteria; Enterobacterales; Enterobacteriaceae. The record is from RNAcentral. RNAcentral also lists the same sequence under 4 other names.
AGAGUUUGAUCAUGGCUCAGAUUGAACGCUGGCGGCAGGCCUAACACAUGCAAGUCGAACGGUAACAGGAAGCAGCUUGCUGCUUCGCUGACGAGUGGCGGACGGGUGAGUAAUGUCUGGGAAACUGCCUGAUGGAGGGGGAUAACUACUGGAAACGGUAGCUAAUACCGCAUAAUGUCGCAAGACCAAAGAGGGGGACCUUCGGGCCUCUUACCAUCGGAUGUGCCCAGAUGGGAUUAGCUUGUUGGUGGGGUAACGGCUCACCAAGGCGACGAUCCCUAGCUGGUCUGAGAGGAUGACCAGCCACACUGGAACUGAGACACGGUCCAGACUCCUACGGGAGGCAGCAGUGGGGAAUAUUGCACAAUGGGCGCAAGCCUGAUGCAGCCAUGCCGCGUGUAUGAAGAAGGCCUUCGGGUUGUAAAGUACUUUCAGCGGGGAGGAAGGGAGUAAAGUUAAUACCUUUGCUCAUUGACGUUAUCCGCAGAAGAAGCACCGGCUAACUCCGUGCCAGCAGCCGCGGUAAUACGGAGGGUGCAAGCGUUAAUCGGAAUUACUGGGCGUAAAGCGCACGCAGGCGGUUUGUUAAGUCAGAUGUGAAAUCCCCGGGCUCAACCUGGGAACUGCAUCUGAUACUGGCAAGCUUGAGUCUCGUAGAGGGGGGUAGAAUUCCAGGUGUAGCGGUGAAAUGCGUAGAGAUCUGGAGGAAUACCGGUGGCGAAGGCGGCCCCCUGGACGAAGACUGACGCUCAGGUGCGAAAGCGUGGGGAGCAAACAGGAUUAGAUACCCUGGUAGUCCACGCCGUAAACGAUGUCGACUUGGAGGUUGUGCCCUUGAGGCAUGGCUUCCGGAGCUAACGCGUUAAGUCGACCGCCUGGGGAGUACGGCCGCAAGGUUAAAACUCAAAUGAAUUGACGGGGGCCCGCACAAGCGGUGGAGCAUGUGGUUUAAUUCGAUGCAACGCGAAGAACCUUACCUGGUCUUGACAUCCACGGAAGUUUUCAGAGAUGAGAAUGUGCCUUCGGGAACCGUGAGACAGGUGCUGCAUGGCUGUCGUCAGCUCGUGUUGUGAAAUGUUGGGUUAAGUCCCGCAACGAGCGCAACCCUUAUCCUUUGUUGCCAGCGGUCCGGCCGGGAACUCAAAGGAGACUGCCAGUGAUAAACUGGAGGAAGGUGGGGAUGACGUCAAGUCAUCAUGGCCCUUACGACCAGGGCUACACACGUGCUACAAUGGCGCAUACAAAGAGAAGCGACCUCGCGAGAGCAAGCGGACCUCAUAAAGUGCGUCGUAGUCCGGAUUGGAGUCUGCAACUCGACUCCAUGAAGUCGGAAUCGCUAGUAAUCGUGGAUCAGAAUGCCACGGUGAAUACGUUCCCGGGCCUUGUACACACCGCCCGUCACACCAUGGGAGUGGGUUGCAAAAGAAGUAGGUAGCUUAACCUUCGGGAGGGCGCUUACCACUUUGUGAUUCAUGACUGGGGUGAAGUCGUAACAAGGUAACCGUAGGGGAACCUGCGGUUG